Molecule: long non-coding RNA, 944 nt
Filed under: Daucus carota (carrot)
Lineage: Eukaryota; Viridiplantae; Streptophyta; Magnoliopsida; Apiales; Apiaceae
Description: long non-coding RNA (DCAR_LNC000995)
Source: RNAcentral
AAGAUCACUUAGUGUACUAUGAUAACUUCGUUAUAACCUAAGAGCUUGCAUCCCUGGUCAACGGAGUACCAUUGUCAUUGUCACUAGAAAUGGUGGCACAAAGAUCUCCUAAAUUAAUUUGUAAAUUUGGAUUUGCCUCGCUUAACUUUUUCAGAACCAUAGCGAGCUUUGAAUCUACUUCUUCCUGGACAUCUUUUUUUACCUUGGCUUCAAUUUCCACUUCGAGAUUUUGCCUGAUCUGAGAUGUCAACUCCUGGAUGUAAGUGUUCGUGGCAGGAGGGGUUGGAACCUCGGCAGACUUGAUUGUUCGUCCAAUAAGCCAAGACGGGCCAUGUGUUUUACCAUUAGUGACAAGAUCAUCAAUGUUAGAACUACCUUCCCCUGUAUUCACCGCUUUUUCAAUUUUCUCCUGAAAAUAACGCCAUGAUGAGAUACUCACAUUAGAUACCAAUUAACAUGUUUUUACUGAGAUUGACUAAUUAACAAAUUAGUUACUUACAAGUCUGUAGUUCAUCACAGCAGUAUUGGACUUGUACUCGUUUUUGGAAUUUCUCUUGCGAGUUUUUAAAAAAACUUCUGCAUCUGAUGCUUCGGGCUGCCAAGUGUGAUAAUUUCAGCACACAUUCAAUUAUAAUUAUUGAAUUGAAUUCUAAAUAAGAUAAGAUAUCUUUAUUUAAAAAUAAUAAGACCGUCUAGAUCUGAUGGGAACAUAUUAUGACAAACAAAGGUAUAUAGUAUGUGUACCAGUUUCUUCCGAAUUUGGGCAAACGAUACGGGACCAGCAGUGUGUGUGUCCGUAUAGCAUUUACGAUUUUCCGUAUUUGUCACAGCCUUUUUCUACAAAAACAAGAAAGAAAAAUCACGCCAUUAUCUCACAUAAAUUCAUACCAUAUAAUGGACAAAUUUAUAUCGUAAAUUAAACACCUGUUCUUUUGGAUCUGCCC